AUUGAACGCUGGCGGCAGGCCUAACACAUGCAAGUCGAGCGAGAAAGGUCUUCGGACUGAGUACAGCGGCGGACGGGUGAGUAAUGCGCAGGAAUCUACCUGGUAGUGGGGGAUAACUCGGGGAAACUCGAACUAAUACCGCAUACGCCCUACGGGGAAAGCGGGGGACCGUUCGGGCCUCGCGCUAUCAGAUGAGCCUGCGUAGGAUUAGCUUGUUGGUGAGGUAAAGGCUCACCAAGGCGACGAUCCUUAGCUGGUCUGAGAGGAUGAUCAGCCACACUGGAACUGAGACACGGUCUAGACUCCUACGGGAGGCAGCAGUGGGGAAUAUUGCGCAAUGGGCGAAAGCCUGACGCAGCCAUGCCGCGUGUGUGAAGAAGGCCCUUGGGUUGUAAAGCACUUUCAAUUGGGAAGAAAGGUUGCGUGUUAAUAGCACGUAGCUGUGACGUUACCUUUAGAAGAAGCACCGGCUAACUCCGUGCCAGCAGCCGUACGG
This 496-nucleotide ribosomal RNA is filed under the name uncultured bacterium. Its description in RNAcentral is "bacterial SSU rRNA". It matches the Rfam family "Bacterial small subunit ribosomal RNA", at positions 30 to 528 of the family's 1533-position model. The record is from RNAcentral.